GUCCAUCAUUCUAUUUAUUCACAAAAUACAACAGCCCCUUGCCUAAUGCCCUAGUUUGAGCUCUAAUAUCGCCAUUGCAACUUAUCAAGGAGUCCACCCUAUUUUGCUCGACGCUGAAUUCUAGCUGCUCUUUUUGUUCUUCUUGGUUAAUCUUCACGUUCCUCUCCUACUCGUGUCUUCGUGCUUGUGUCGUUGCUGCUCUACUCAAAACAAAAUUCCACCGCGGUUUCGCUUGAAAUAGAAUUCCAGAGAGUUUGCAAAAACUCAUAAGAACGCUCGACACUUGACUGAUGCAGAAUGGAACCGACAACUUAUUGAAUGAUUUAACAAUAGGGUCGCAGAAUUGCACAAAGGAGAUAAUACUUGUAUGAUGGAAGAUCUCCUUACACUUUCACGCGGUCCUACACAAUAUUUGAGGCAUUCUAAUGGUUAUGUUGUCAAUGGAUAUAGAUUUCAUGUAUAAGAUUAUGAUAAGAAGUUGAGGACUCAAAAUUGUGGCGUUUUUGUAUUGGGUGAGAAUGAUAAAGAUAGUGACAACCUUGAUUAUGACGGUGUAUAAACAUAUGUGAUUGAGUUGCAACUUGUCAUGGAUAAAAGAGUGCUUUUAUUUUGAUGUAAUUGGUUUUAUGCGUAUGAUGAAAUAAAAGGAGUUAAAAAGUAUUAGUAUGAUUCUGUGAGUGUUAAUCCGGACAGAUUUUUUAAAAUUAAUUAGCCCUUUAUUUUAGCAAACCAAGCAUCCCAAGUGUUCUCUGCUAAUGAUAAUGCCAACAAAGGUUGGCAAGUCGUUAUGAAUACUCAACCUCAUGAUUCGUUUGAGAUUAUCAAACAGAUGAAUGAUGAUAUUGUAGAAUUAUGAAGUCCUUUCACAAAACAAACGAAAAAGAACUAAUGAGGUAAAGUAUCUUUUUUUAUGAAUUGAUAUAUAUAUUGUUACACUUUAUAAAUGAUUUAUUUUGUCACUAAGUGUUAGACAUUUUUCCUUGUUAUUUAUUACUUUU
Long non-coding RNA from Solanum pennellii, 998 nucleotides. RefSeq lists it as uncharacterized. NCBI's taxonomy places the organism in Eukaryota, Viridiplantae, Streptophyta, Magnoliopsida, Solanales, Solanaceae. The record is from RefSeq and is a predicted model, not a curated record. The transcript is spliced from 5 exons.